AUUUCAUUACAGUACAGUACAGACAAACAUAUAUAGAAGGGCAUACGCUCAUACAAAAAGUGUCAUAUCAUCACUCUGAAUCUGCUGGUAUAACAAAUUUAACAAAGUUUAUUUCAUCAAAGGCAAGGAAUUUUCCUAAGAGGAAGGUUUCAUUUCUGUCUUAAUUGCAGCAACCAGCUGGUCAUAAGCUUCACCCCAUGCAAUUUUCAUUUCUGGUGACCACAGCUCUGGUACUGCUUCCUUUAUGGUCUCCAAUAGUGCAAACUUUGUUACCUCAAAAUGUUCGUCAACAACUCCGUAUUUGAAGUGGACAGCUCCCAAUUUUUUUAAGCUGGAUUCUCUUACAGUAACUUUGCCAGCUUUCCUCAGUUGAACUGCUGAUUCACAAGUCAUGAUAAAGACAGACAUGGCGUGAGGCUUGAGUUUUG
This 428-nucleotide unclassified non-coding RNA is filed under the name Hevea brasiliensis (rubber tree). The record is from RNAcentral. Lineage: Eukaryota; Viridiplantae; Streptophyta; Magnoliopsida; Malpighiales; Euphorbiaceae.